Molecule: RNA transcript, 2520 nt
Organism: Rhodamnia argentea
Lineage: Eukaryota; Viridiplantae; Streptophyta; Magnoliopsida; Myrtales; Myrtaceae
Gene name: tRNA nucleotidyltransferase cca2
Exons: 17
Source: RefSeq, a predicted model, not a curated record
CGCGUCGUCUUAUGGGACUAGGAGAGCUUUUCAGUUUCUCUUCAUCUCUGGGCUUCUGUCUGUCUCUCCCGCCCUCGCCUUUGUGCUCCUGCUGCCUCUCACUCGUCGCCGUGUCGCCUCCACUCGUCGCUGUGUAACUCCUGUCUUCGCCGCCGAAGCAGCUGCUGCAUUUAUUCUCGACGUCGUCCGUCGCCCCGGCCACCUUACAGCGGCCGAGCCCAGCCAACCGACGCCUCCAGCUACUCCUCAUCGCUCUCUCUCUCUCUGCUUGGACAGGCUCCGGCGGCUUUUCGUCUGCAAGGGCAAAAGAAUCGGUUUCGCAAGUGAGUGCCGAAUUCUCCUAGUAAUAGAAGGGAAAAACCGAGUGAAUUGAAGCAAGGACGUCCAGCAUGGGUAAGGGAGGAAAAUGAGAGUGUCAUUGUUGAACGGCAACAGUUCAAGCUUUUUUCUUAGAAGCAUCUUCGGUAGUGGCAAUUCUCUUGCUUUAGGAAGCGUUUGGAGACCUCUUAAGGCGCGAAACCCGGCUAAAGCAGCUGGGUUCUUGCGUUGCAAAUCAAUGUCGACGGAUUCGCCUGUGGUGCAAGUGAAGGAAAAGAUCGAUUUGACAGAGAAGGAGAAGAUGAUCUUUGAUAGGCUUCUUGCCACCAUUCGCCAUUUUGAUCUCUCUACCCAGCUGCGCGUUGCUGGUGGCUGGGUCCGUGAUAAGCUUCUAGGGAAAGAGUGUUAUGAUAUCGAUAUCGCACUUGAUGACAUGUUGGGUAGUACAUUCGUUGAUAAGGUUACCCAAUAUUUGGCAUCAACAGGAGAAGAGGCACAAGGUCUGGCUGUUAUCCCAAGCAACCCAGACCAGUCGAAACAUCUGGAAACGGCGAGGAUGCGCAUCUAUGAUACAUGGAUAGAUUUUGUGAACUUAAGGUCUGAAAAGUACAGUGAGAAUAGCCGCAUUCCCACCCAGAUGGAUUUUGGCACUGCUGAAGAGGAUGCUUAUAGAAGGGAUUUAACUAUAAACAGCAUGUUUUACAAUAUCAACACCAGCUCAGUUGAAGAUUUAACUGGGAGAGGGUUUGAAGAUCUUAGAUCAGGAAAAAUUGUGACACCUCUAGCCCCAAAGGAAACAUUUCUGGAUGAUCCACUGCGAGUUCUUCGUGCUGUUCGCUUUGGCGCAAGGUUCGGAUUUACAUUGGAUGAAGAGCUGAAGAGAGCUGCCGCAUCCAAUGAUGUCAAAGAUGCACUUGCAGCUAAAAUCAGUAGAGAGCGCAUUGGAACAGAAGUUGAUCUGAUGAUAUCAGGCAAUGAACCAGUUAAAGCUAUUGCUUACAUCCAUGAGUUGCAAUUAUUUUGGGUUGUCUUCAGUCUACCUCGUGAACAUGAGCUGACAUUACCAGAAGAGUGCGAUAGGCUCUGCUUGGCUUAUAUGGAUGCUGCAUGGAGCCUUCUGCAGCUAAUUGGAUCAUUGUCUCUUGCUGAUGAACAACGAAGGUUGUCCUUGUAUGCAGCUCUGUUUUUCCCAUUCAGAACCAUCACAUACAAAGAUAGCAAAGGCAAGAAGAUUCCAAUCGUCAACUAUGUUUUUCGAAACUCUCUCAAGCGAAAGGCUAGCGAUGCUGAGACAGUCGUCGGUGUACACUCUGCUGUGGCAAGACUGCUUAGCUUGAUUCCUUUUCUUGAAUCAAAUGUUGACAGAGAGCUCAAUGAAGAUGAUAUGGGCAGUGAACUUGUUGAUAUUCCUGCUUCGUCAAAGCUGCGGGUAUUAACAGGAUUUCUCCUGCGAGAAGUUAAGGAUUUCUGGCGAGUAGCACUAUUGAUUGCUGUGCUGGCUUAUCCCUUUCCUAUUGGCUGCUCUGAAGAUGCCAUGUUCAAGCACUACGAAUUAGACAAGAGAAAAGAGGUGUUCAAGGCAGUUGAGAAUGCUAUUCUCAAAUUAGGCCUGGAAAAAAUAUGGGAAGUGAAGCCUCUAGUCACUGGAAAGGAUAUUAUGAAUGUUCUGCAGCUCAAAUCUGGAGGUCCAUUGGUUAAGGAAUGGCAACAAAAGCUACUUGCGUGGCAGCUGGCAAACCCAGCUGGAACUGCAGAUGAGUGCCUAGAAUGGAUGAGGCAAACUCAUUUGAAGCGAAUAAAAAUGGAGUGAAUUUACAGCAUAUCUUUGUAGUUCAGACAUAUUCCGCAAGGUCUGGAGCUGCAACUACAGUUGUUCAGAAAUAUGUGGAAACUUUACAGCAUACGGCAUCAGAAUACUAGUUUCAAAAGUACAUUUGUCCCGUUUAGGAUGUAAAUUCAAAGGCUGUUGGUGGGCUAUUGAAAUUUCGACUACGCAUAUCUUGUUUUACAGGACAGACAGGAUGCAAGGAUGCGUCUCUUAUGGAAAGUUGAAUUUAUGGGUAGAUAUUUCAUCUCCAGUUGGUACCAAAGAGCACUCCUCUCUCUGUGUUUUUGUGGAACUUGAAAAACGAUACAUGCAUAACUGCAUGGUACGAGCAGGGGGGAAAUUGAAAUGGCAGAAAAAAAGUAAUAAUUGCAUGA